This 469-nucleotide ribosomal RNA is filed under the name uncultured bacterium. Its description in RNAcentral is "bacterial SSU rRNA". It matches the Rfam family "Bacterial small subunit ribosomal RNA", at positions 917 to 1382 of the family's 1533-position model. The record is from RNAcentral.
GGGCCCGCACAAGCGGCGGAGCAUGCGGAUUAAUUCGAUGCAACGCGAAGAACCUUACCUGGGUUUGACAUACAUCCUGCCGCUCCAGAGAUGGGGCUUCUUUUGGGGGUGUACAGGUGGUGCAUGGCUGUCGUCAGCUCGUGUCGUGAGAUGUUGGGUUAAGUCCCGCAACGAGCGCAACCCUUGUCGCAUGUUGCCAGCAGCACCUUUGGGUGGCUGGGGACUCAUGCGAGACUGCCGGGGUCAACUCGGAGGAAGGUGGGGAUGACGUCAAGUCAUCAUGCCCCUUAUGUCCAGGGCUUCACGCAUGCUACAAUGGCCGGUACAGAGGGCUGCGAUCCCGUGAGGGGGAGCGAAUCCCAAAAAGCCGGUCUCAGUUCGGAUUGGGGUCUGCAACUCGACCCCAUGAAGUCGGAGUCGCUAGUAAUCGCAGAUCAGCAACGCUGCGGUGAAUACGUUCCCGGGCCUU